AACGAACGCUGGCGGCAGGCCUAACACAUGCAAGUCGAACGGCAGCACGGCAGUAGCAAUACUGUGGGUGGCGAGUGGCGGACGGGUGAGGAAUACAUCGGGAUCUACCCUGUUGUGGGGGAUAACGUAGGGAAACUUACGCUAAUACCGCAUAAGAACUGAGGUUGAAAGCGGCGGACCGCAAGGCGUCGCGCGAUUGGAUGUACCGAUGUCCGAUUAGCUAGUUGGCGGGGUAAAGGCCCACCAAGGCGACGAUCGGUAGCUGGUCUGAGAGGACGACCAGCCACACUGGAACUGAGACACGGUCCAGACUCCUACGGGAGGCAGCAGUGGGGAAUAUUGGACAAUGGGCGCAAGCCUGAUCCAGCCAUGCCGCGUGGGUGAAGAAGGCCU
RNAcentral lists this ribosomal RNA (393 nucleotides) under uncultured bacterium. RNAcentral describes it as "bacterial SSU rRNA". It matches the Rfam family "Bacterial small subunit ribosomal RNA", at positions 29 to 417 of the family's 1533-position model. The record is from RNAcentral.